Molecule: transfer RNA, 89 nt
Filed under: Chitinimonas arctica
Lineage: Bacteria; Pseudomonadati; Pseudomonadota; Betaproteobacteria; Neisseriales; Chitinibacteraceae
Description: tRNA-Pro
Source: RNAcentral
CGGGCUGCACUGCUAAGUUGUUGAUAUAUAUAAAGCUUCCAUGCUUCGGGAGCAGGGGGUCGGAGGUUCGAAUCCUCUCACGCCGACCA